This 485-nucleotide ribosomal RNA is filed under the name uncultured bacterium. RNAcentral's name for it is "partial 16S ribosomal RNA". It matches the Rfam family "Bacterial small subunit ribosomal RNA", at positions 30 to 507 of the family's 1533-position model. The record is from RNAcentral.
AUUGAACGCUGGCGGCAUGCCUUACACAUGCAAGUCGAACGGCAGCACGGGUGCUUGCACCUGGUGGCGAGUGGCGAACGGGUGAGUAAUACAUCGGAACAUGUCCUGUAGUGGGGGAUAGCCCGGCGAAAGCCGGAUUAAUACCGCAUACGAUCUACGGAUGAAAGCGGGGGACCUUCGGGCCUCGCGCUAUAGGGUUGGCCGAUGGCUGAUUAGCUAGUUGGUGGGGUAAAGGCCUACCAAGGCGACGAUCAGUAGCUGGUCUGAGAGGACGACCAGCCACACUGGGACUGAGACACGCCCAGACUCCUACGGGAGGCAGCAGUGGGGAAUUUUGGACAAUGGGCGAAAGCCUGAUCCAGCAAUGCCGCGUGUGUGAAGAAGGCCUUCGGGUUGUAAAGCACUUUUGUCCGGAAAGAAAUCCUUGGCCCUAAUACGGUCGGGGGAUGACGGUACCGGAAGAAUAAGCACCGGCUAACUACGUG